Molecule: long non-coding RNA, 251 nt
Filed under: Lathyrus oleraceus (garden pea)
Lineage: Eukaryota; Viridiplantae; Streptophyta; Magnoliopsida; Fabales; Fabaceae
Description: Pisum sativum (pea) long non-coding RNA (PSAT_LNC001926)
Source: RNAcentral
AAAAUUAUAUAAUUAUAUAUUAUAUAUUAUAUAAAAAUUAAAUAAUAUGAUCGAGAUCAGGGAAUUGAAUCCACGAGACAGAUGGUACUUCCCCGAUAUCUGUCUCAAAGUGUCAUUGGAGAAUUUUUUUCCUACAUCUUCGUCUCUGCAAAAAAAAAAAAUCCUCAAUUUCGAAGCUCCGAACAAAUAAUCUCUACAAACUCUCCAUUAUCAAAUACUAGUAGAAAUUAACAUUCCUAAGCAUGUCUGUC